This is a long non-coding RNA of Micropterus salmoides (largemouth bass), 761 nucleotides long. RefSeq lists it as uncharacterized. The transcript is spliced from 3 exons. Lineage: Eukaryota; Metazoa; Chordata; Actinopteri; Centrarchiformes; Centrarchidae. The record is from RefSeq and is a predicted model, not a curated record.
CCAACAUCAACUGUAGGAGAGAUAAUCAGCAGACUUUUCAAAACAGACUGGACUGACCCUGAAAUGAGGGCAUCUGGAUGUGUGUGCAGUUAAUUAGGAGUUUCCAAAAGCCCAACAGAAAGAACCCCCAAACCAUCUGAUGAGCUAAUGCUUCUACAAGCUGGGUUAGGAAGAAGGACUGUAACUGUCCCAGAGGAUGCUGGCCAUAAUGAGGCAUGUUGUAUGACACUUAAUGAAUUAAGAACUGAAAUUUGAACAAAAAUAUCGUUAACCUAUACUAAAACAGCAUAUCCAGUGAAAACAGUAGCCCCAAUCUUAGCCACCAAAACCAUUUCAUUUAUUCUUGGAAUGCUGCCAAUAAGUCUAAUGUACAGAUUUGUCUUAAGCUCAUUGAUUUGAUAUAUAUUUGCUAAUCUUACUUACAUGCUUUAAAUUCAUAGAUUACACACAUUCUUUCUGAGACAUAUCCGCAGAUGUCAGAACUGGAGGGUGCCUGGAUGCUGCACAAAGCCAUGGGAGGAUCAGGUCAAUGGAAACUCAACUUGUUGACACCUGAAGAGGAUGGAUACACAGGGGCCAGCCUUGUAAAGAGCCGUGGAGGCAAGGGCUGUCUUAUACAUUAUGCCCAUCCAGAACACACUGGACAUUUCUCCCCUACCCUUCACAGCUCUGGAGUUCCAGGCCAUGCCCGGUGUGUGUCAUGCCAGGAGUAUGUGCCCCUGCAGCUCCAUGUCAAGACAUGUAUCCAGUCUAAAGUCAAG